GAAAGGCUUCGGCCGGACAGGGAUGGGCAUGCGGCGCAUUAGGCAGUAGGCGGGGUAACGGCCCACCUAACCGACGAUGCGUAGGGGUUCUGAGAGGAAGGUCCCCCACACUGGUACUGAGACACGGACCAGACUCCUACGGGAGGCAGCAGUGAGGAAUAUUGGUCAAUGGUCGGGAGACUGAACCAGCCAAGCCGCGUGAGGGAGGAAGGUACAGAGUAUCGUAAACCUCUUUUGUCAGGGAACAAAGACUGGGACGCGUCCCCGGAUGAGUGUACCUGAAGAAAAAGCAUCGGCUAACUCCGUGCCAGCAGCCGCGGUAAUACGGAGGAUGCGAGCGUUAUCCGGAUUUAUUGGGUUUAAAGGGUGCGCAGGCGGUCUGUUAAGUCAGCGGUCAAAGCCCGGGGCUCAACCCCGGCCCGCCGUUGAAACUGGCAGUCUCGAGUUGGAGAGAAGUAUGCGGAAUGCGCGGUGUAGCGGUGAAAUGCAUAGAUAUCGCGCAGAACUCCGAUUGCGAAGGCAGCAUGCCGGCUCCACACUGACGCUGAGGCACGAAAGCGUGGGUAUCGAACAGGAUUAGAUACCCUGGUAGUCCACGCAGUAAACGAUGAAUGCUGGCUGUCCGGGGG
Molecule: ribosomal RNA, 629 nt
Filed under: uncultured bacterium
Lineage: Bacteria
Description: bacterial SSU rRNA
Rfam family: Bacterial small subunit ribosomal RNA
Source: RNAcentral